Molecule: long non-coding RNA, 486 nt
Organism: Felis catus (domestic cat)
Lineage: Eukaryota; Metazoa; Chordata; Mammalia; Carnivora; Felidae
Exons: 3
Source: RefSeq, a predicted model, not a curated record
CAUAGGGGACGUGCCACACCCAGAGGGUGCAGUUGUCAGGCGGGGAGGCCAGCCAUCUGUGAGAGACCCGUCCUGCCGUCCUGCCCCUGCCGUGUGGUGCAGUGAUGACUCCAGUAUCAAUCAGGAUUACACGAAUCGAGCUCAGUAAAGGGCUGACAGAAUCCCUCACCAAAUUUCCAGAAAGAAAGAGUACGGAGAAGGCUGGAAAGAGAAAGGAGGGAGAGAGCGACCCGGAGGAAGACCUCCCACGGAGGCUUCCAGAGCCGCUGGGAAGAGCUCCGCCCCCCGCCCCCCAGCUCUGCACCUGCUACCAUGCAGUGCAGAUCUGCUAAGAGAACCCAAAUCGGCUCCAUCACGGGCCCAGUAUCUUCAACAGCAUCAGCCAUCUGGAGUGUGAUCAAAGAUCCUUGACUCAAAUUGCUUUGGUCUCUCAUUAUUUUAUCUAGAUUAUUUUCAAUUUGUUAUAUGUAUUUCCAAUCUCUCUCU